CAUUGCAUUUGUUUUUGUUUUGGCAUUAUUGUACUAAAAUGUUCCUAUUUUGAUCAAUGAAGUUGAAAUGGUUGUUAAUUAUUGUGUCUAUUCCCAUGCACCUAUUUGAUGAUAACAAAAAGGGGGAGAAGUAAAGAUAGAGCAAUAAGAGGAGAAGUAAAGAAAGAAAGAGAAAUAACUUGUAAAACAAAUUGAAAAU
RNAcentral lists this long non-coding RNA (199 nucleotides) under Phoenix dactylifera (date palm). Its description in RNAcentral is "long non-coding RNA (PDAC_LNC010561)". The record is from RNAcentral. Lineage: Eukaryota; Viridiplantae; Streptophyta; Magnoliopsida; Arecales; Arecaceae.